Molecule: ribosomal RNA, 708 nt
Filed under: uncultured Campylobacterota bacterium
Lineage: Bacteria; Pseudomonadati; Campylobacterota
Description: bacterial SSU rRNA
Rfam family: Bacterial small subunit ribosomal RNA
Source: RNAcentral
CUGGGCGUAAAGCGCGCGCAGGCGGCUAUUUAAGUUGGAUGUGAAAGCCUACGGCUCAACCGUAGAACUGCAUCCAAAACUAUUUAGCUAGAGUGUGGGAGAGGAAGAUGGAAUUAGUUGUGUAGGGGUAAAAUCCGUAGAGAUAACUAGGAAUACCAAAAGCGAAGGCAAUCUUCUGGAACACUACUGACGCUGAGGCGCGAAAGCGUGGGGAGCAAACAGGAUUAGAUACCCUGGUAGUCCACGCAGUAAACGAUGAAUGUUAGUCGUCGGGUAGCUAGUCUAUUCGGUGAUGCAGCUAACGCAUUAAACAUUCCGCCUGGGGAGUACGGUCGCAAGAUUAAAACUCAAAGGAAUAGACGGGGACCCGCACAAGUGGUGGAGCAUGUGGUUUAAUUCGAAGAUACGCGAAGAACCUUACCUAGCCUUGACAUAUUUUAGAACACCCUAGAGAUAGAGUGGUGCCUUCGGGAGCUAAUUUACAGGUGCUGCACGGCUGUCGUCAGCUCGUGUCGUGAGAUGUUGGGUUAAGUCCCGCAACGAGCGCAACCCUCGUCACUAGUUACUAACGGUUCGGCCGAGGACUCUAGUGAGACUGCCUUCGUAAGGAGGAGGAAGGUGAGGACGACGUCAAGUCAUCAUGGCCCUUACGGCUAGGGCAACACACGUGCUACAAUGGCCAGGACAGUGAGACGCAAUACCGCGAGG